This 583-nucleotide ribosomal RNA is filed under the name uncultured bacterium. RNAcentral's name for it is "partial 16S ribosomal RNA". It matches the Rfam family "Bacterial small subunit ribosomal RNA", at positions 355 to 921 of the family's 1533-position model. The record is from RNAcentral.
UGGGGAAUAUUGCACAAUGGGCGCAAGCCUGAUGCAGCCAUGCCGCGUGUGUGAAGAAGGCCUUCGGGUUGUAAAGCACUUUCAGCGAGGAGGAAGGUGGUGAACUUAAUACGUUCAUCAAUUGACGUUACUCGCAGAAGAAGCACCGGCUAACUCCGUGCCAGCAGCCGCGGUAAUACGGAGGGUGCAAGCGUUAAUCGGAAUUACUGGGCGUAAAGCGCACGCAGGCGGUUUGUUAAGUCAGAUGUGAAAUCCCCGGGCUCAACCUGGGAACUGCAUUUGAAACUGGCAAGCUAGAGUCUCGUAGAGGGAGGGUAGAAUUCCAGGUGUAGCGGUGAAAUGCGUAGAGAUCUGGAGGAAUACCGGUGGCGAAGGCGGCCCCCCUGGACGAAGACUGACGCUCAGGUGCGAAAGCGGUGGGGCAGCAAAACAGGAUUAGAUACCCUGGUAGUCCAGCGCUGUAAACGAUGUCGAUUUGGAGGUUGUGCCCCUUGAGGCGUGGCUUCCGGAGCUAACGCGUUAAAUCGACCGCCUGGGGGAGUACGGCCGCAAGGUUAAAAACUCAAAGGAAUUGACGGGGUCU